UUGGUAGAGACAUUCACAAGACUUAAUAAUUGUUUGGUUGACUGAAUAGGACUUCUGUCCAGAGAUCUCACCAUUCACAUCAUCAUCUAUACCUGAAAGUGUUUCGAAAUUUACAUAGAAUUCUGUUGAAUUUUUGUCAUGUAUGUGGUUACUUACAAAUGUUUAUUGUUUUUGUGAUUUUUAGUUCUUCAGGAUUUUGAUUUCUUCUGUUAAAAUUUCUUCUAAGAAAAGAAAACAAACGAAGAAUUUCAUAUUUUGUUUAUUAUUAGCUUGCCUGUCUAAAAAGGACAUGUGAUCAGCUUUUUUCCAUCACUUGGGCACAUCUUUUAUGGAAUUUCAAUAUUAAACUUUUACUUAGACAGAAUUAUUACAAGCUGAAGCUUAUACCUGUUAUGUGUGCAUACAUUUGUAUUUUUAUGUGUACUUGUUUAUAGCAAUGUUUUGUAUUUAGUAAAUUACAUGUACAUGUUACUUUGUAUAAUGAAUCCGGUUGUUUGAGCUUUGUUAAGCAAUUGUAUACUGUUGAUUAUAAGUUUGUGCUGAUUCUAAAUGAAUAUAAAAAUAAGAAUGUGCAGUGUGAGUGCCAAACGCUGCAUCAGAGACCAAAAGAUAUAGAAAUUUACAACUAAAGGUUAUCAUAAGGCCUUCAUCAAUGAGCAAAACCGAUACUGCAUAUUCCGCUACUGGUAUACCAGGGCCUCCAAUGACAAAUGUUAAACAUUUCAAAUGAAAAAACUAACGGCCUAACUUAAUAACAAAACAAUGAACAAAAUAUAAAAUACAGCUACAAACAAGAACCACUGUGUUACAAGCUCCCGACUUGGGUCAGGCACAUACGGAAGGUUAAUUUCAAUAUAGAUGAAAAAUUUACUGACUUACUUAUUGAUGUAUUGUAGGGAAUUUGACAUCAUUCUUGUAAGUCCCCUACUGACGAAGUCCAAGGUGACAUUAGGUUUGCACUUCGUCUGUCUGUCUGUCCAUCUGUCAGUUUUCAAGACUUUUUUUUCUUCGUGCUUGAAGAUAUUGAUUUGAUAUUUGGUGUAUUGUUUUAUCAUUACGAGUUACAGGUGAAUUAUUGUUGAAUUGAUUUCACCGACUGUUCUUACAUUUGACAUGGAUGAAGAAAUCAUAAGUCACUCAUAAAUCUACUACAUCAUAGACAUUUUGACUUGGGAUACUGUAAAUUGUUGGGUGCAUUUGUUAUUGUUACUUUUGAAGAAUAGACAACAAUGCAAGAUUAAUUAUUAUGAUUUCAGGUAAAUCUGCAUACAGCUAGUAUAUGUAUCAGGUAUCAAAAUGUGAAUUCUUAUUAUUGCAAUAAUCAUAAAGAUGCAUGAAUUAAAACCUUCCAAUAACUUCUGUAUAUACAGCAGUUGUCUCAUUGGCAGUCAUAACACAUCUCCUUGUUGUAUAUAGAUAUUUGUUAAAAUUUACUUUAAUUGAAUGAUUACGGUGCUUUGUUAUAUUUUACAUAUAUAAUGUAAAUUGAAUUAUUUG
Molecule: long non-coding RNA, 1497 nt
Filed under: Mytilus galloprovincialis (Mediterranean mussel)
Lineage: Eukaryota; Metazoa; Mollusca; Bivalvia; Mytilida; Mytilidae
Source: RNAcentral